AUUGAACGCUGGCGGAAUGCUUUACACAUGCAAGUCGAGCGGCAGCGCGGGGCAACCUGGCGGCGAGCGGCGAACGGGUGAGUAACACAUCGGAACGUACCCAGUUGUGGGGGAUAGCCCGGCGAAAGCCGGAUUAAUACCGCAUACGACCUGAGGGUGAAAGGGGGGGAUCGCAAGACCUCUCGCAGUUGGAGCGGCCGAUGGCGGAUUAGCUAGUUGGUGGGGUAAAGGCCUACCAAGGCGACGAUCCGUAGCUGGUCUGAGAGGACGACCAGCCACACUGGAACUGAGACACGGUCCAGACUCCUACGGGAGGCAGCAGUGGGGAAUUUUGGACAAUGGGGGCAACCCUGAUCCAGCCAUUCCGCGUGAGUGAAGAAGGCCUUCGGGUUGUAAAGCUCUUUCGGCAGGAACGAAACGGUGGGAGUUAAUACCUUCUGCUAAUGACGGUACCUGAAGAAGAAGCACCGGCUAACUACGUGCCAGCCGCCGCCGUAA
Molecule: ribosomal RNA, 498 nt
Filed under: uncultured bacterium
Lineage: Bacteria
Description: partial 16S ribosomal RNA
Rfam family: Bacterial small subunit ribosomal RNA
Source: RNAcentral